CUAACACAUGCAAGUCGAGCGGAGCGACAAUAACAAUUCUUCGGAGGCGUUAUUGGGCGGCGAGCGGCGGACGGGUGAGUAAUGCCUGGGAAUAUGCCUUAGUGUGGGGGAUAACUAUUGGAAGCGAUAGCUAAUACCGCAUAAUGUCUUCGGACCAAAGAGGGGGACCUUCGGGCCUCUCGCGCUAAGAUUAGCCCAGGUGGGAUUAGCUUGUUGGUGGGGUAAAGGCUCACCAAGGCAACGAUCCCUAGCUGGUCUGAGAGGAUGAUCAGCCACACUGGAACUGAGACACGGUCCAGACUCCUACGGGAGGCAGCAGUGGGGAAUAUUGCACAAUGGGGGAAACCCUGAUGCAGCCAUGCCGCGUGUAUGAAGAAGGCCUUCGGGUUGUAAAGUACUUUCAGUCGUGAGGAAGGGUGAGCAGUUAAUAGCUGUUUAUCUUGACGUUAGCGACAGAAGAAGCACCGGCUAACUCCGUGCCAGCAGCCGCGGUAAUACGGAGGGUGCGAGCGUUAAUCGGAAUUACUGGGCGUAAAGCGCAUGCAGGCGGUCUGUUAAGCAAGAUGUGAAAGCCCGGGGCUCAACCUCGGAACAGCGUUUUGAACUGGCAGACUAGAGUCUUGUAGAGAGG
RNAcentral lists this ribosomal RNA (631 nucleotides) under uncultured bacterium. RNAcentral's name for it is "bacterial SSU rRNA". It matches the Rfam family "Bacterial small subunit ribosomal RNA", at positions 48 to 659 of the family's 1533-position model. The record is from RNAcentral.